GUCUAACCCUUUUGGUUAGCUCAGUUGGUAGAGCGCUCCACUGGAAACGGAGAGGUUCCGGGUUCGAUUCCCGGACCGGACA
This 82-nucleotide transfer RNA is filed under the name Ixodes scapularis (black-legged tick). Its description in RNAcentral is "tRNA-Ser". The stretch from base 10 to 82 matches the Rfam family "tRNA". Rfam says of the family: Transfer RNA (tRNA) molecules are approximately 80 nucleotides in length. Lineage: Eukaryota; Metazoa; Arthropoda; Arachnida; Ixodida; Ixodidae. The record is from RNAcentral.